Molecule: non-coding RNA, 292 nt
Filed under: Taphrina deformans PYCC 5710
Lineage: Eukaryota; Fungi; Ascomycota; Taphrinomycetes; Taphrinales; Taphrinaceae
Description: Eukaryotic large subunit ribosomal RNA
Rfam family: Eukaryotic large subunit ribosomal RNA
Source: Rfam by way of RNAcentral
ACCCUAACCCUAACCCUAACCCUAACCCUAACCCUAACCCUAACCCUAACACUAACCCUAACCCUAACCCUAACCCUAACCCUAACCCUAACCCUAACCCUGUAUCGUAUAAUGAGGUCAACGGCCGGCUUGGCGGAAAGGCCUUGUCGGUUCGACCUCGGAUGGCAAUUUCAAAUAUGCGCGGGGAUGAAUCCUUUGCAGACGACUUAAAUGUGGAACUGGGUACUGUAAGCAGUGAAGUAGCCUUGUUGUUACGACCUGCUGAGGUUUAGCCUUUGUUCUCAAGAUUUGU